This is a long non-coding RNA of Thalassophryne amazonica, 330 nucleotides long. RefSeq lists it as uncharacterized. NCBI's taxonomy places the organism in Eukaryota, Metazoa, Chordata, Actinopteri, Batrachoidiformes, Batrachoididae. The record is from RefSeq and is a predicted model, not a curated record. The transcript has 3 exons.
CACUGCUCUUCUUCGGCGUUUUUUUUUUUUUUCUUCACUCCUGGCUGUUCAGAUCAGAUAACAAACAAGCUACAGUGUCGUUGUAUUUAUGAUUUUUGUUUUGUCCUUAAUGGACAUUGUUAUUUUUCAGAGGACUAAUUCUUCCUUUGGCGGCGUGGUAACAAGUGUAUGAUGGAACAAAAACUUUCCUGGACUCAGUUUAGCAGGCUAUGAGUGCGUGUGAUGGAGGACAGUCUAUGUGGGGACUUGGACCACCUGAUCCAAGAUGAGGACGCCACAUUGAGGGUGUCAGCAACCAAGUCCUAUUUGUCGUGGUGCUCAGUUUUACUU